AAAGAAGAAGUGAGAAAGAAGGAAGAAAGGCUUGGAGGAGAAAAGGAAAAGCUCAUCAUCACCAUUUUCUACUCAUCAUCCUCACCAACUUCAUUUUAUUCUUUUACUAGGUGAGUUCUUAGAUAGAUUUAGCCUUUGGGGGAAAAUAACCUAUGUUUAGGGGUUAGGAUUUGUGUGAAUUUGUGAUGAACUUGUUGUGUUCAUACUCCUCAUCCAUGCUAUGUGUUGAUAUCAUGUUGUUGUUGUUGAAAUUGUGAUACUUGGGUGUUUAAUUUUGAUGUGUUUUAUUGUUGAAGAUAUGGAGGUUAAUCACAUGAAUUCAUAACAAUAUAAGUUAUUCAUGAAAUAUUCCCAUGAAUCAUGAGUUAACCAUGUUUUCUAUGAUUAUGGUGUUGUUGUAAUUGAACAUGGUUGUUGAGGUUGUUAAGAACAUGUGUUUAUGAGGUUGAGGAUUCCUUGAGUGUUGGUUGCUGAUGGUUUAAUUCUAUCUACUUUUUCAAAAGACAUUCUAAAGGCGGAAUUGAAUGCAGUACACUCAGGUAUGUUUCAUUUUUAUCUUAUAAAAUAUAAUUUUUUCUUUUGAAUGAACAAAAAUACUAAUAUGUUUAUCUAACAAAUUAAUGUAACUCCAGAAUUUUAAGAAAGACAAAAUGAUUCGGCAUAUAUUCUUAAUCAAUUUAGAUGCCACUCAUCAAAACAAGGCCACCAAUAUAAUAAAGUGUUUUUA
RNAcentral lists this long non-coding RNA (727 nucleotides) under Lathyrus oleraceus (garden pea). Its description in RNAcentral is "Pisum sativum (pea) long non-coding RNA (PSAT_LNC033370)". Lineage: Eukaryota; Viridiplantae; Streptophyta; Magnoliopsida; Fabales; Fabaceae. The record is from RNAcentral.